UGCAGUCGAGCGAGAUCUUCGGAUCUAGCGGCGGACGGGUUAGUAACGCGUGGGAACGUACCCAAAGGUAGGGAAUAGCCACUGGAAACGGUGAGUAAUACCCUAUGUGCCCUUCGGGGGAAAGAUUUAUCGCCUUUGGAUCGGCCCGCGUUAGAUUAGAUAGUUGGUGGGGUAACGGCCUACCAAGUCUACGAUCUAUAGCUGGUUUUAGAGAAUGAUCAGCAACACUGGGACUGAGACACGGCCCAGACUCCUACGGGAGGCAGCAGUGGGGAAUCUUGGACAAUGGGGGCAACCCUGAUCCAGCCAUGCCGCGUGAGUGAUGAAGGCCUUAGGGUCGUAAAGCUCUUUCGCCUGUGAAGAUAAUGACUGUAGCAGGUAAAGAAACCCCGGCUAACUCCGUGCCAGCAGCCGCGGUAAUACGGAGGGGGUUAGCGUUGUUCGGAAUUACUGGGCGUAAAGCGCGCGUAGGCGGACUGGAAAGUUGGGGGUGAAAUCCCAGGGCUCAACCCUGGAACUGCCUCCAAAACUAUCAGUCUAGAGUUCGAGAGAGGUGAGUGGAAUUCCGAGUGUAGAGGUGAAAUUCGUAGAUAUUCGGAGGAACACCAGUGGCGAAGGCGGCUCACUG
This 628-nucleotide ribosomal RNA is filed under the name uncultured bacterium. RNAcentral's name for it is "bacterial SSU rRNA". It matches the Rfam family "Bacterial small subunit ribosomal RNA", at positions 56 to 731 of the family's 1533-position model. The record is from RNAcentral.